GCGCCCGUAGCUCAGUGGAUAGAGCGACCGCCUCCUAAGCGGUAGGUCGCAGGUUCAACUCCUGCCGGGCGCACCA
This 76-nucleotide transfer RNA is filed under the name Spongiibacteraceae bacterium. RNAcentral's name for it is "tRNA-Arg". It matches the Rfam family "tRNA". From Rfam's summary of the family: Transfer RNA (tRNA) molecules are approximately 80 nucleotides in length. Their secondary structure includes four short double-helical elements and three loops (D, anti-codon, and T loops). Lineage: Bacteria; Pseudomonadati; Pseudomonadota; Gammaproteobacteria; Cellvibrionales; Spongiibacteraceae. RNAcentral also lists the same sequence under 2 other names. The record is from RNAcentral.